Molecule: small RNA, 298 nt
Filed under: Triatoma infestans
Lineage: Eukaryota; Metazoa; Arthropoda; Insecta; Hemiptera; Reduviidae
Description: putative mitochondrial 16s rRNA
Source: RNAcentral
ACGGGUUAUCCCUAAGGUAACUUAAUCUUAUAAUCAUAAAAUAUGGAUCACAAAAACAUUAAUUAAUGAAAUAAAAUAAUAGAAGUUAUUUAAAUUCUACAGUCACCCCAACAAAAUAGUUCAUCUACUUAAAACAAAUAAAUCACCAAAUUAUUAAAAUAUAAAACUAUAAAGAUCUAUAGGGUCUUCUCGUCCCACAAAUAAAUUUAAGCUUUUUAACUCAAAAAUUAAAUUCUCCUCAUUAAAUCAAAGAAAGUUAAUACCUCGUCCAACCCUUCAUUCCAGCCCUCAAUUAAAA